AUGCUCCAAGAAAGAGGAUGGAAAGCUCAGGCCAUUUCUGAUCCUGGAAGCUUUCCAUAUGUAUGCAGACCACUGGAGACUUUCCAAGGAUUCCAAAUUAAGGAGCACUUCCGUCAGUUGUCACCUACAGUUCAUCUUGUAGUGCUGGCAGGUCCUAGCAGAACUGUGCACUGCUGCUCAGUGUGAAGGGUUGGUGGUUCAUUUUUACAUCAAACAAACCAAAGGAGUUUUUCCUCUUGUUUCACUUACAGCAGAAACCCAGGAAAAUUAAAAACAAAAUAUGUCCAGAGCAGUCUUUCUCAUGUUUUCAGCCAAGUAACUUUGUCCUACAUAUUUUAUUAUUAUUCAAGUGGAUGAAGUGUCUGACCACACUACAUGGUCACAUCAUCAAGAGUGAGAAGUAUCACAUAUCUUACAGGGAUACAGAAAUGAGGAAUCAUUCAGAAGAGUGGAAGAAAGUGACAAUUGUACACCCUGCUUAAAUAUGUGACCCCCUCCAGCCACAAUGACAGAACUGUCUUGUGUGGUCAGGGCUGGAAAAUUUCAUUCCCCAUGUAUGAGCCUAGAAGCACAUGCUUGAAUUAUAUUUUAUUCAUUAUAGACUCAUGACCUUGUGGUUUAUUUUUUUUAAAGCUGUAGUGUCCUCCUCUAUUUUGUCCUUCAGAAUUCUGACUUGUUUUGUCUUAAGUUCAGAUUCCAGUAGUUGGGUUGGUGUUUUUUUGGUGUGUGUUUUUUUUUUUUAAUGGAUUCCUCAUGGGUUUAUAUCAAGAAAGUUUUAAAUGUCUGAAGAAUUACAUAAGCUACAGUUAAUUUUUUUUGUGUAUUGCCACUUGUGGUUGCCUUUUUUAAUAAGACUAUAGCUUUUAAGUUGCUUUUUUUAAAGUGCCUUUCUCUUAUUUUCCCAGUGAUAAAAACAGGGUGCCAAAUUUUGCUCCCCUGAAUUCACAACUGUCAGAAAUCAGUCAGGUAUUAAAAAUGUAACUGGGUGAGAAUUUGGCCUAGAUUGUGCAAAGCCCCAGGGAAAUAUUAUAGCUGUGUGGGAAACUUCUAAAUUUUCUUGUGUUUUCCCAUUCAUUGCUCCUCCUCUUUCCUGUUUGGCUUCUGGGAUUCUCCCCAAAGAAACUCAAGACGUGUCUUUCUCAAUACAAGUAGACAGAGCAUAGACACAAUAUUGGAUUUUGGGCCUCUUGAAAGAACAAAUGAGUGUAAGUUCACAUUAUUUCUAGUUCAUGUAGUGGUAUUAGCUGAGUUGCCUGCUUUUAUGACAAUAAAAGAAAAUUCAUUCAAACA
RNAcentral lists this long non-coding RNA (1290 nucleotides) under Cyanistes caeruleus (blue tit). RNAcentral describes it as "lncRNA (ENSCCEG00000021914.1)". Lineage: Eukaryota; Metazoa; Chordata; Aves; Passeriformes; Paridae. The record is from RNAcentral.